ACGGGCGGUGUGUGCAAGGAGCAGGGACAGAUUCGCCGAGCGAUGCUAACACUCGACUACUAGGGAUUCCGGUGUCAUGAGGAUGAGUUGCAAUCCUCAAUCAAUACUACGACAAGGUUUAGGGGAUUUGCUUUUCCUUUCGGAGUUGCAUCCCAUUGUCCUUGCCAUUGGGGCCCGCGUGUAGCCCAGGAGAUUCGGGCCAUACUGACCUAACGUAGCCCAUACUUUCAUCCCAUUUAUCACGGGCAAUCUCUUAUGAGUGCACCCUCCCCGAAGGAAAGGCUGGCAACAUAAGAUAUGGGUCUCGCUCGUUACCUGACUUAACAGGACACCUCACGGCACGAGCUGACGUCGGCCAUGCAACACCUCUCAGCGCGUCAGGUAAGCCCUUCAGACUGACCAUCAUUCUGCUGUCGCUCCUGGUAAGGUUCCCGGCGUGUUAUCCAAUUAAACCGCAGACGUCACCCCUUGUAGUGCUCCCCCGCCAAUUCCUUUAAGUUUCAGCCUUGCGACCGUACUCCCCAGGUGGCUCACUUAACGGUUUCCCUUCGGCACUGGAAAUCCGCGAAAGAUCUCCAAUACCAAGUGAGCAUCGUUUACAGCUAGGACUAACCGGGUAUCUAAUCCGGGUCGCUCCCCUAGCUUUCAUCCCUCACCGUCGGAUCCAUUCCAGUCAGACGCCUUCGCCACAGGUGGUCCCCCUAGGAUUACAGCAUUUUACCGCUACCCUAGGAGUACCUCUGUCCUCUCCUGGUCCCAAGCCGUAAUAGUUUCUACCGCACGCCCUAUAGUUUUCUA
This 798-nucleotide ribosomal RNA is filed under the name uncultured archaeon. Its description in RNAcentral is "partial 16S ribosomal RNA". The record is from RNAcentral.